GAUCCUGGCUUAGGAUGAACGCUAGCGGCAGGCCUAACACAUGCAAGUCGAGGGGCAGCGCGGUGUGGCAACACACUGGCGGCGACCGGCGGAUGGGUGCGUAACGCGUAUGCAACCUGCCUCCGGAGAGGGGGAUAACCCGUGGAAACGCGGACUAAUACCCCCGUAUGCGCACGACGCCGCAUGACGUUGUGCGGAAAGAUUCAUUGCUCGGAGAUGGGCAUGCGUGGCAUUAGGUAGUUGGCGGGCAACGGCCCACCAAGCCAUCGAUGCCUAGGGAGCUGAGAGGCUAAUCCCCCACACUGGUACUGAGACACGGACCAGACUCCUACGGGAGGCAGCAGUGAGGAAUAUUGGUCAAUGGAGGGAACUCUGAACCAGCCAUGCCGCGUGAGGGAAGACGGCCCUAUGGGUUGUAAACCUCUUUUAGCCGGGAGCAAUAAGGGUCCUGCGGGGCCCGACGAGAGUACCGGCGGAAUAAGCAUCGGCUAACUCCGUGCCAGCCGCUGC
Molecule: ribosomal RNA, 510 nt
Filed under: uncultured bacterium
Lineage: Bacteria
Description: bacterial SSU rRNA
Rfam family: Bacterial small subunit ribosomal RNA
Source: RNAcentral